This 999-nucleotide ribosomal RNA is filed under the name rhizosphere soil bacterium RSC-II-6. RNAcentral's name for it is "bacterial SSU rRNA". It matches the Rfam family "Bacterial small subunit ribosomal RNA", at positions 9 to 1035 of the family's 1533-position model. The record is from RNAcentral.
GAGUUUGAUCAUGGCUCAGGACGAACGCUGGCGGCGUGCUUAACACAUGCAAGUCGAACGAGGCAGCAAUGCCUAGUGGCGGACGGGUGAGUAACGCGUAGGUAACCUGCCUUAUAGUGGGGGAUACCCAGCCGAAAGGUUGGCUAAUACCGCAUAAGCUCAUUUCUUGGAAUAGGGAUGAGGAAAGAUUUAUUGCUAUAAGAGGGGCCUGCGUUCGAUUAGCUAGUUGGUGAGGUAAUGGCUCACCAAGGCGACGAUCGAUAGCUGGUCUGAGAGGACGAUCAGCCACACUGGAACUGAGACACGGUCCAGACUCCUACGGGAGGCAGCAGUGGGGAAUUUUCCGCAAUGGGCGAAAGCCUGACGGAGCAACGCCGCGUGGAUGAUGAAGUCUUUCGGGACGUAAAAUCCUUUCAGCAGGGACGAAGCGAGUGACGGUACCUGCAGAAGAAGCAUCGGCUAACUACGUGCCAGCAGCCGCGGUAAUACGUAGGAUGCGAGCGUUGUCCGGAAUUAUUGGGCGUAAAGAGAACGUAGGCGGUUUCUUAAGUUUGGGCUUAAAGACUGGGGCUCAACCCCAGGAGUGGCUCGAAAACUGAGAGACUAGAGGAUGGCAGAGGAAAGUGGAAUUCCCAGUGUAGCGGUGAAAUGCGUAGAUAUUGGGAGGAACACCAGUGGCGAAAGCGACUUUCUGGGCCAUUCCUGACGCUGAGGUUCGAAAGCUCGGGGAGCAAACAGGAUUAGAUACCCUGGUAGUCCGAGCCGUAAACGAUGGAUACUAAGUGUCGAGGGUAUCAACUCCAUCGGUGCUGUAGCUAACGCGUUAAGUAUCCCGCCUGGGGAGUACGGUCGCAAGACUGAAACUCAAAGGAAUUGACGGGGGCCCGCACAAGCGGUGGAGCAUGUGGUUUAAUUCGAUGCAACGCGAAGAACCUUACCAAGGCUUGACAUGUAGGGAAUCUGGUGGAAACACCGGAGUGCCGCAAGGAGCCCUAACAC